Molecule: long non-coding RNA, 773 nt
Filed under: Populus trichocarpa (black cottonwood)
Lineage: Eukaryota; Viridiplantae; Streptophyta; Magnoliopsida; Malpighiales; Salicaceae
Description: long non-coding RNA (PTRI_LNC000117)
Source: RNAcentral
CACUGUGUAUGCAUGCUUGCUUCAUUGACCUUUUGAUUUAUAACCAUUUCAUCAUAUAAGGAGGUUUUUCACACUGUGCUUGUGCUGCUAGAUCAGAAAAAACCUGCAUAUGUUGCACACUUGAUUCUGAAUUUCCACGAAGUAAUUGCAGACCUAUUACACAUUUACACAAUUGAACAGACCUCUUCCAUGAACACAAGGGCCACACUGUUCCUUGAAAUUGAGGUUUGGAUUGUAAUGUAGUCUACACUGUUCCCAUUACACAUUUCCAUAAUCACUUCCAUUCCCCAGCAUAAUUGAUUCAUAGAUAAAACUAUAAAUUGAGGUUUGGAUGAAAUCAGUUGUGUGUUUCAGUUUUACUCAACCACAGAGUCAUGCUUGUUCAUGUCCCCAUAAUUGUUGACAUUCAUCCCAACCCAUAUUCUUAUUUUAUUGAAGUCGCAUUUCACUUAGAAAAUUAUCAUCUGCUCAUAGCAAUUGGGCGGACAUGGACAUUGACAUUUCCCAAGCUGCCGGCACUGUAUGUCAAACUGCACAUAGAAAAUGUUGCAAUAACGUGAGAUUCAAACUUUGGCAUGUGAAUGGUUCUAGGCUCGGCUUUUACAUGGUCCGAAAGCCUCCCCAUGAUCAUGUUUGCUAUGAUUGGUCAUGCUAUUGAAUGUAGGAUUAAGUUUCAUACCUACACAUGCAAAGUAAAAUGCUGAUCAUGGUGGUGAAGUAUUGUUUUCUAUGUCAGGUGUUUGGGACGGAUAAGAGAUACUGGUUCAUCCCUG